CGCCUGUUUUUCAAAAACAUGUCUUUUUGAUAAUUAUUUAAGGUUUGGCCUGCUCAAUGAGUGUUUAAAUAGCCGCAGUAUUUUGACUGUGCAAAGGUAGCAUAAUCAUUAGUUUUUUAAUUGAAAGCUGGAAUGAAGGGUCGGAUGAGAAAGCUUCUGUCUCACUUUAAUUUUAAUUGAAUUUUAUUUUUAAGUUAAAAAGCUUAGAUUUUAUAAAAAGACGAGAAGACCCUAUAGAGUUUAAUAGAUUUAAAUAUAGAUUAUUUUAGGGUUUUAUAUUAGUUUAUUUUUAAUUUAUUUUGUUGGGGUGAUAUAAGAAUUGAGUUAACUUCUUUAUAUUUAAACACUGAUUUGUGAUAAAUGGAUCCUUAAAUUGGGAUUAAAAGAAUAAAUUACCUUAGGGAUAACAGCGUAAUUCUUUUGGAGAGUUCUAAUCGAUAAAAGGGAUUGCGACCUCGAUGUUGGAUUAAAGUUUAAUUUUGGUGUAGAAGCUAGGAUUUUG
This 502-nucleotide ribosomal RNA is filed under the name Berberomeloe insignis. Its description in RNAcentral is "partial large subunit ribosomal RNA". It matches the Rfam family "Bacterial large subunit ribosomal RNA", at positions 1797 to 2575 of the family's 2925-position model. Lineage: Eukaryota; Metazoa; Arthropoda; Insecta; Coleoptera; Meloidae. The record is from RNAcentral.